CGAGUGGCGAACGGGUGAGUAACACGUGGGUGAUCUGCCCUGCACUUCGGGAUAAGCCUGGGAAACUGGGUCUAAUACCGGAUAGGACGAUGGUUUGGAUGCCAUUGUGGAAAGUUUUUCGGUGUGGGAUGAGCUCGCGGCCUAUCAGCUUGUUGGUGGGGUAAUGGCCUACCCAGGCGUCGACGGGUAGCCGGCCUGAGAGGGUGUACGGCCACAUUGGGACUGAGAUACGGCCCAG
RNAcentral lists this ribosomal RNA (238 nucleotides) under uncultured Actinomycetales bacterium. RNAcentral describes it as "partial 16S ribosomal RNA". It matches the Rfam family "Bacterial small subunit ribosomal RNA", at positions 92 to 334 of the family's 1533-position model. Lineage: Bacteria; Bacillati; Actinomycetota; Actinomycetes; Actinomycetales. The record is from RNAcentral.